Molecule: unclassified non-coding RNA, 299 nt
Filed under: Homo sapiens (human)
Lineage: Eukaryota; Metazoa; Chordata; Mammalia; Primates; Hominidae
Description: meiosis specific with OB-fold (ENSG00000282650.1)
Source: RNAcentral
ACCGUCUUACACAAUACCAACCGCCCAUCAGGUUGUUUCAAAGGCUUUCAGCCACUGACUAAUAGAAAAAGAGACUGCAUACAACGUUUCAUUCAUGUUUUGCUAGGCUAGAUACAUUUGUUGUAGCGGUCUCAUAUUUGUAAGUCCGUGGAAAAACCUGAAAGUAUUUUUUUCUUGAAAAUUUUUUUGAAAAAAAAGUAAAAUGUCAUUAGGAGUGAGAAUCAGGAAUGAUGGAUUCACGGUCUAGUUGCAAGACUCAUCACAGGCCAUUAACCUCUGAAAAGCCUUUAUCUGCUUCG